UACGGGGGGAGCAAGCGUUGUUCGGAAUUACUGGGCGUAAAGGGCUCGUAGGCGGCCAACUAAGUCAGACGUGAAAUCCCUCGGCUUAACCGGGGAACUGCAUCUGAUACUGGAUGGCUUGAGUUCGGGAGAGGGAUGCGGAAUUCCAGGUGUAGCGGUGAAAUGCGUAGAUAUCUGGAGGAACACCGGUGGCGAAGGCGGCAUCCUGGACCGACACUGACGCUGAUGCGCGAAAGCUAGGGUAGCAAACGGG
RNAcentral lists this ribosomal RNA (253 nucleotides) under uncultured bacterium. RNAcentral's name for it is "partial 16S ribosomal RNA". It matches the Rfam family "Bacterial small subunit ribosomal RNA", at positions 524 to 776 of the family's 1533-position model. The record is from RNAcentral.